UGCAAAUAAAAAGAAAUUUCCCAAUUAUCGCUAUAUAAUCUAACAAAUUGCAAAGUUGGAAAGUGCAUUAAUCAAGUAGUCCUUUGUUUGAUUGAAACUUUGAGAAUACAAAUACUACAUCACAACAUAACCAAAUAAUGUUCCCUUAUUUCUGAAAUAUGAAUCCAAAUAGUAGUUACUACUACACCCAACAUAGAUAUUUAUAAAUACCUAUGUACACAGUCAAUGCCUGUGACUGAAAUUUGAUAAAGAAGCAUAAUUCUAUCAUCUUUGCAUCACUAUGGU
Molecule: long non-coding RNA, 285 nt
Filed under: Arachis ipaensis
Lineage: Eukaryota; Viridiplantae; Streptophyta; Magnoliopsida; Fabales; Fabaceae
Description: long non-coding RNA (AIPA_LNC000975)
Source: RNAcentral